UCGAAUUCAACCUGGUUGAUCCUGCCAGUAGUCAUAUGCUUGUCUCAAAGAUUAAGCCAUGCAAGUCUAAGUAUAAGUUACUAUGUAACGAAACUGCGAACGGCUCAUUAGAACAGUAAUAAUUUGUGUGAGGAUGACUACUACACGGAUAUCUGUGGUAAUUCUGGAGCUAAGACGUGCACUGAGGCUUCUCUUUGAGAAGUCAGCACCUAUUAGCUACUGCCUCAACCUAAGCAAUUAGGUAAGAGUGAUCUAUAAUAGUGUUGCUUAUCAUAGAGUUUACUCUAUGGAACCUCACUUAAGUUUCUGACCUAUCAGCUGUCGACGGUAGGGUAUUGGCCUACCGUGGCUAUGACGGGUAACGGGGAAUUAGGGUUUGAUUCCGGAGAGGGAGCCUGAGAGACGGCUACCACAUCUAAGGAAGGCAGCAGGCGCGCAAAUUACCCAAUCGAGACACUCGGAGGUAGUGACAAGAAAUAUCAAUGCAAUGCUAUAUGUUUUGCAAUUGGAAUGAGUUGAGGGUACAACACUCUACAAGUAUCAAUUGGAGGGCAAGUCUGGUGCCAGCAGCCGCGGUAAUUCCAGCUCCAAUAGCGUAUAUUAAAGUUGUUGCAGUUGAAAAGCUCGUAGUUGAUAAUAAAUAAGAUAUGGGCUCUCUCACACCGAGAUGAAUUCCAUUUUCUUAUCUUCGUUUGUAUUAUGGGGCUCGUCUUCACAAUAUGAACAUGUUACUUUGAAUAAUUUUGAGUGUUUAAAGCAGGCUUUUCGCCUUGUAAACCACAGCAUGGAAUAACAAUGUAGGGCUAAUACUCGACUUUGAGGUUAAAGAGAAUUGGUCAAGAUUAAGAGGAACAGUUGGGGGCAUUCGUACUUGGUAGUCAGAGGUGAAAUUCUUAGAUUUACCAAAGACGAACUACUGCGAAAGCAUCUGCCAAGGAUGUUUUCAUUAAUCAAGAACGAAAGUUAGGGGAUCGAAGACGAUCAGAUACCGUCGUAGUCUUAACUGUAAACUAUGCCGACUAGAGAUCGGAAGUUGUCAAUCAAAAGACUCUUUCAGUACCUUAUGAGAAAUCAAAGUCUUUGGGUUCUGGGGGGAGUAUAGUCGCAAGGCUGAAACUUAAAGGAAUUGACGGAAGGGCACCACCAGGAGUGGAGCCUGCGGCUUAAUUUGACUCAACACGGGAAAUCUUACCAGGUCCAGACAUAGGAAGGAUUGACAGAUUGAGAGCUCUUUCUUGAUUCUAUGGGUGGUGGUGCAUGGCCGUUCUUAGUUGGUGGAGUGAUUUGUCUGGUUAAUUCCGAUAACGAACGAGACUUUGACCUGCUAAUUAGACUUUGUAGGGAAACCUAUUGAAUGUGCUUCUUAGAGGGACUUUGUGUGUUUAACACAAGGAAGUUCAAGGCAAUAACAGGUCUGUGAUGCCCUUAGAUGUUCUGGGCCGCACGCGCGCUACAAUGGUGUGCUCAUUAAGUGUUCCCUUACCUGAAAAGGUUGGGUAAUCUUUUGAAAGUGCACCGUGAAUGGGAUUGACAAUUGUAAUUAUUUGUCAUGAACGAGGAAUUCCUAGUAAGCAUAAGUCAUUAACUUGUGCUGAUUACGUCCCUGCCCUUUGUACACACCGCCCGUCGCCUCAAUCGACUGGAUGAUUCGGUGAACUAUUCGGAGUAUCAUCUUUUUAGCAAUAAAAAGACGAUGCGAAGUCUCGUAAACCACAUCAUCUGGAGAAUGAGAAAGUCGUAACACGGUAUUCGUAGGUGAACCUGCAGA
Molecule: ribosomal RNA, 1768 nt
Filed under: Hoplorhynchus acanthatholius
Lineage: Eukaryota; Apicomplexa; Conoidasida; Eugregarinorida; Actinocephalidae
Description: SSU rRNA
Rfam family: Eukaryotic small subunit ribosomal RNA
Source: RNAcentral